CUACGGGUUGCUCCAGUGGGGAAUAUUGGACAAUGGGCGCAAGCCUGAUCCAGCAAUGCCGCGUGGGUGAAGAAGGCCUGCGGGUUGUAAAGCCCUUUCGGCCGGGAAGAAAAGCUUCGGGCUAAUACUCCGGAGUCUUGACGUUACCGGCAGAAGAAGCACCGGCUAACUCUGUGCCAGCAGCCGCGGUAAUACAGAGGGUGCUAGCGUUAAUCGGAAUUACUGGGCGUAAAGCGCACGUAGGCGGCUUGGCAAGUCGGAUGUGAAAGCCCCGGGCUUAACCUGGGAACUGCAUUCGAUACUGCCUGGCUCGAGUGUGGUAGAGGGUAGUGGAAUUCCGGGUGUAGCGGUGAAAUGCGUAGAUAUCCGGAGGAACACCAGUGGCGAAGGCGGCUACCUGGACCAACACUGACGCUGAGGUGCGAAAGCGUGGGGAGCAAACAGGAUUAGAUACCCUCGUAGUC
RNAcentral lists this ribosomal RNA (464 nucleotides) under uncultured bacterium. RNAcentral describes it as "partial 16S ribosomal RNA". It matches the Rfam family "Bacterial small subunit ribosomal RNA", at positions 339 to 795 of the family's 1533-position model. The record is from RNAcentral.